UUAAUCUGCUUUGCCACUCCAAUGCCUCUGUAAUACAGAAUCGUUAGUUUGCAGGGGAGAAUUUUGAGCCUUGGCAAACGUCCUGCUACCUGGAUAACAUUUUAUUGGCAGAAAAGGACAAGGAAGGUUUUGAAUUCAGAUCUAUAGACCUUCCUUCCUCCUCUUUUUCCUAUUGUAAGAUGCUCUCUCCCUCUCUCUUGCCUUCAUUCAUUCCUGUUCUUUAAUUACUCAGAUUUCUUCCUGCUAAUGGUGUGUCAGGCCCUGUUACAAGCACGAGGAGGGUCACCCAUAAUCACAAAACAUGGCCUUGCGAUAGACUCGGAGAAGGGAUGGUCUUGGUCUUUCUUCAGGACUCGGGUCCUGCGAUCCCGCGAGGAGCCAAUCCCUGGCGCGGAGACCAACGAGAUACGAAGGCCUCCCAGCUUCCUAGACGGUACCGGAAGUUGCUCCCAGGGUCCAACGACCGUAGAGGAACUCGCUUCCGGCGUAUGUUUGUUCAGGAACUACCCAAGUCCCUGGCAGAUGUGCUGGGGUUCGAGCACGCUGCUGAGCCCCGUUCGGGUCCCCGUUGUAGGAGCCGCCUUCCCGGCCUGUCCCUGCCCGCUCUUGGCGCUGGUAUUGACCCUCACUUGUGACACACAUGAUGAAACAGGCCCAGAGAGUGGCGGGAAAUUUCCGGGGAUCCCAGCACAUCCCCUACGGCGUUUGGUGGGAAGGCAGUACUCUGCCUCCCGACCUAAUACUGCUCACUUCGUGCUUCCUUGCCGGAGGGCACUAAACUCCCUGUACUUUGUUUGGCUAAAUCCCUUUCCUGGGUGUGUAAUCCUGACUCACUAUCUGACCUCCAGCUCAGCCUUUGACCCUUUGUGCUGCACAUCUGCCAAGUGGAAGGAGCGUUUUUAGCCUAUCCUACCCACAGCUCUCAGUCACCCGGGUUGUUAGCAAGGACUCGUGGACUGCACGAAGGAUCACUAGUCCAGCCACCACCUUGCUAUUUUAGUGAUGGUGAAACAGGCCCAUGGAGGGGUUUGAACCGAGACCUCCUGCCUUCCAUUUCAGAGGCCUUGUCUCUUUUUCUGACCCAGUGUCUGUGACCUUGAUUCUCCUAAAGCACAGUUUUGGUUUUGGAGUAACGAACUUUAUGCUCUUGAUUGUAAUCCUUCAGUUUCUGGGUAUUAUUGGACUUACGAUUUGAAAUCCACAUUUUUCCGGAAGCAUCAAACAUAGACUGGAAUUUUUCAGCCUUUAGGUAUGGAAGACCCCCUACUCUGCCACUUACCAUCUCGCAUUUGCGGCUUCCGGCAAGUUAUAUAUCCACUGAGUUUCUUCAUUUGUGAAAUGGAAAAACAAAAACAAAAAACAAUCCAUGACUGCUUACUCAGAGUUGGAAGAACUGAGUGAGAGUGUUUGUUACACAGAGCAAAACAAAUUGGAAAGCAUGCAGGAAAGGGGCAGCCAAAGAGAACAAGAACUAUCAAAGAAGACAAAUAAAAGGACCCAGCUGAGACUUAAAAGGGGGCUUUUUACAUCAAGCCACCUGAGCUUAUGUUCCCCCACCCGAGUGUGUUUCCACUCAUGUCUUCCUCUUUUGAGCAAUAAAAUGGCUUUCAUGCUG
Molecule: long non-coding RNA, 1615 nt
Organism: Vicugna pacos (alpaca)
Lineage: Eukaryota; Metazoa; Chordata; Mammalia; Artiodactyla; Camelidae
Source: RefSeq, a predicted model, not a curated record